Molecule: long non-coding RNA, 971 nt
Filed under: Populus trichocarpa (black cottonwood)
Lineage: Eukaryota; Viridiplantae; Streptophyta; Magnoliopsida; Malpighiales; Salicaceae
Description: long non-coding RNA (PTRI_LNC004104)
Source: RNAcentral
CUUUCUGUAUUUUAUUUUAUUUUUUGUGAAAAAAAUGAUGAUUAUGCAUUAAAACAAGCACAAGCCAACAAGAAAGUGACUACUGCUAACAAAAAAGCAGAGAUGACAACCUGGAAACAUCCUAUCUUGCCUUCCUAUGCUUUCUUUUGCUAAGCUAUGAGCUAAAUCAUUUUCCUCCCUUGGAACAUCUCUGAGAGUGACUUUACCCUUUAAUGCAAUUGAAAAUAGAUUUGAAUUCAUUCUGCACUCUCCAUGGUCUUCCACUAGAUCUCUUAACAAGCUGAUAGCAUUAGAGGAGUAAGUUUCUAAAAUCCACUCCACUUCCUUUGCCAGCCUACAGAAGAUCAAAGAGUAGAUAUCAUCCCACUAAUUGUACCUCAAAUGAUUAGGAAUAAGCUUUAUUAUGUGUUACUUAUGGUACACUUUUUGGUGUUGUUUUCCAGCUUAGUGUCACUUCUAUGGGAGAGAAAACUCUGUUCGUGAGCUUGACAUGUAGUAAAACAACAGACGCGAUGAUUAGGAUUUGUGAGGCUUUUGAACCUUUGAAGCUGAAAAUUAUCACAGCAAAUAUCACAACUCUCUCAGGGAUGAUCAAGAAGACUGUCUUGAUAGAGGUCAGCAUCUUUUCUUCUUCCUCAUCUCCAUCAUUUCAAUUCAAGUGAAACCAAUGUGUGGUGGAUAACAUACUUCAAGGCUUUUGAACCUUUGAAGCUGAAAAUUAUCACAGCAAAUAUCACAACUCUCUCAGGGAUGAUCAAGAAGACUUUAAGAAAACAAGAAAGAACUUUCCCAUAGAGAGUAAAAUGGGGCCAGUGAUCUUGAGAAUAGAUAGAUAUUGGAUAAAAAAAUAUUGACAUAAAUUGUUCAAAGAAAAUAUUUAAUUACAGCACAAUUGAAAUUCUGCCAAGAAGUUAUAUAUUCAAACUUCGUCAUGGUCAUGAAAGUUGACAGCAAUUUUGUGUCUUGCAGGU